This 176-nucleotide ribosomal RNA is filed under the name Pogonia ophioglossoides. RNAcentral's name for it is "partial 5.8S ribosomal RNA". The stretch from base 1 to 155 matches the Rfam family "5.8S ribosomal RNA". Rfam says of the family: 5.8S ribosomal RNA (5.8S rRNA) is a component of the large subunit of the eukaryotic ribosome. It is transcribed by RNA polymerase I as part of the 45S precursor that also contains 18S and 28S rRNA. Functionally, it is thought that 5.8S rRNA may be involved in ribosome translocation. Lineage: Eukaryota; Viridiplantae; Streptophyta; Magnoliopsida; Asparagales; Orchidaceae. The record is from RNAcentral.
AACUCUCGGCAACGGAUAUCUUGGCUCUCGCAUCGAUGAAGAACGCAGCGAAAUGUGAUAUGUGGUGUGAAUUGCAGAAUCCCGUGAACCAUUGAGUAUUUGAACGCAAGUUGCGCUCGAGGCAGUUUGCCGAGGGCGUGCCUGCCUGGGCGUCUUUCGAUCUUUUGCUCCACCAU